GUUUAUAGCAAUACCACCCUGAAUGGGCACCCAGUCUCAUGUGAUUUCAGAAGCUAAGCAGGAUCAGGCAUGGCUAAUACUAGGAUGGGAGAAAAACAAUCAAGAUCAUUUAGUAGUGUCUGCAGUGGAAACC
RNAcentral lists this ribosomal RNA (133 nucleotides) under Jaculus jaculus (lesser Egyptian jerboa). The record is from RNAcentral. Lineage: Eukaryota; Metazoa; Chordata; Mammalia; Rodentia; Dipodidae.